CUUCAUUUAGAGAAAUAAAUCACUCACAAUUUUUUAAAUUUAUACAACAUAUUUAUACAUUUAUGCUAAAAAAAUUAAAAUGAUUGUAUACAUACAAAAUCAAAGAAAUCUCACCUCAAGUCCAUAUGUUAUUGUAAAUUUGCGAAUUAUUCCGUUUUGCUCACUGGGUGGAAGAAUCCACAUGAAAUGAAUUUCACUUGGCUGGAUAUCUUUUGGGUGGAAGUUAGUCACCUAAAAAAUCACUUUUAUUUAUACGGGAUUGGGCCAUCAGAAGUCGUCUGGAAUCUCGGGAUCCGACCCCGUCUUUCUCGAAAAUUCUAGAUGCAGCUAAACAAGCUAGCGAAAUGAUAACAGCUGAAUGUUUUCGAUUGAGAAAUGAGGGUCGUACCCGGAGCAAUCACCCUAAAAAAUUGACUGUUGUGCUGACAAGUGGCCUUAUUGCUCAACCCCCAGGAUUAGCUAAUGCCCGGACUCAACCAGAAUAGCUCAAUGACUUGGAGAGGACAAGGGCAGUCGGGUCACCUGGAAACCUGGAAGAGGUGGUCAACGGAGAGCUGUCACGGUCAGGCCGGCCCCGGUGGGCUGUAGGAAUGGACGUCAAGAGAGACGCUAAGAAGAAUGUCGAGAGGGCCGUCGAGAGAGACGCCAGGAGAAACGUCGAGAGGGUUGUUGAGAGAGACGCCAAGAAGAACGCCGAGAGGGCUGUUGAGAGAGACGCCGAGAGGAAUGUCGAGAUGGAUGUUGAGAGAGACGCUGAGAAGAACGUCGAGAGGGCCGUGGAGAGACGUUGUGAGGGCAGUCGAGAGAGAUGCCUGGAGGAAUGUCGAGAGGGCUGUCGAGAGAGACGCCAAGGGGACCAUUGAGGGGGGACGCCGAGAGGGAAGUCAUGAGGGCAGUCAAAAGAGACGCCAGGAGGAACGUUGAGAGGACGACGGAGACAACAGUGCUCAUCAUCUGAACCACCUAACUGUCAGGAUCCUAAUUUUGCAGAAGCUCAGCAUCAUGAAUGGAAGUUAUAGUGAUAUAGGUUCAGGUCAUCAUUAAUGAAGGAGAAAUUAACUGAGUAAAAACAAAGAUAAAUAUCAUUAAUAAAUACUUUGAAAAGGAAUGGGCUGAGUAACGAGCGCUAAGGAGCUAAACCAAAUGAGGAGGGAGCAUGUAUUCCAAGGAUGAUAAGUUUUUGAAUAAGCAGAUACUGUAUCAACAUGUUGAUGCAUCGCUAGAGCUUUAGUUGCAGUCUUGAAAAAGAAGAUUUGUACAUGUUGAACGAUUAGGGUGGAAACCAUGUUGUUAAGAUAUGUGGACCUAUAGUUUGUAAUAACACAUUGAUUUCCACUCUUACAUAAAGGUAUUACAAAAUUAACAUUGAGGAAGGUCACGAAAACACCAAUUGACAAAGAUUUAUUGAACAAUAAUGAAAGCACAGGUGGAAAAGCAAACUUACAGCUCUUCAAAAUUAAAGGUGGAAUGUUAUCAGGUCCUGAACUCUUUCUAGAAUCUAAUUUUUACAGAUGUUCCAAAACCUUUUCAUCAGUAUAUUGGAUUGUCUCGAGGUAUUUUUAAAGAAUUAGAAUAGACACUACUAAAGUAAUCAACAAAUACUAUUAAAUUUUUUUCAGAAUUUUUUUAAAUAAAGUCUAGAAUAGAGACAGACUGAUCUGAGGCGAGAAGUACAAGAAGCAGUUUGUGGCCUGAAAGAUCUUGCCCUGGAGGGCAAUGGGUUUGCGGCUAGUGGGUUGAGAUUAGAAAAAAGAAGGCGAGUGAUCACUUCGCGAGACUAUCAUAGGUAGAAGUGGUCUCCGCAUAGAUAGGAAAGAAACUAAAAAUUAAAAACAGAGUUUGGGCUGUGUGGGCCCAGAAAGUGUGAGAUCUACGGUGUGAUAAGUUGAUCAUGGCGAACACAGCACUGCCUGAAGUAUGAAGGAUCUAGGUGGAAGAGUACCUUAUGGGUUCGUCUUUUUAUAAUUAUUUAUCAGGACUGAUAAUACGGGACUUUAGUAAUUAGGUGUAUGUCUCCUCUUUGUGUUAGU
RNAcentral lists this long non-coding RNA (2030 nucleotides) under Cimex lectularius (bed bug). Its description in RNAcentral is "uncharacterized LOC106661799". The record is from RNAcentral. Lineage: Eukaryota; Metazoa; Arthropoda; Insecta; Hemiptera; Cimicidae.